RNAcentral lists this transfer RNA (70 nucleotides) under Loxodonta africana (African savanna elephant). It matches the Rfam family "tRNA". From Rfam's summary of the family: Transfer RNA (tRNA) molecules are approximately 80 nucleotides in length. Their secondary structure includes four short double-helical elements and three loops (D, anti-codon, and T loops). The record is from Rfam by way of RNAcentral. Lineage: Eukaryota; Metazoa; Chordata; Mammalia; Proboscidea; Elephantidae.
GGAAUGGUGGUUCAGCAGUAGAAUUCUUGCCUUCCACAAGAGUGUCUGGGUUCAAUUCCCAGCCAAUGUA